UACGUAGGGGGCAAGCGUUGUCCGGAUUUAUUGGGCGUAAAGAGCGUGUAGGCGGCCAUGUAGGUCCGUUGUGAAAACUCGAGGCUCAACCUCGAGACGCCGAUGGAAACCAUUUGGCUAGAGUCCGGAAGAGGAGAGUGGAAUUCCUGGUGUAGCGGUGAAAUGCGCAGAUAUCAGGAAGAACACCCGUGGCGAAGGCGGCUCUCUGGGACGGUACUGACGCUGAGACGCGAAAGCGUGGGGAGCGAACAGG
Molecule: ribosomal RNA, 253 nt
Filed under: uncultured bacterium
Lineage: Bacteria
Description: partial 16S ribosomal RNA
Rfam family: Bacterial small subunit ribosomal RNA
Source: RNAcentral